UCAGGAUGAACGCUGGCGGCGUGCCUAACACAUGCAAGUCGAGCGGAGAUAAGUGAAGCCUAGCGAUCUAUCUAGCGCGGAUGGGUGAGUAACACGUGGGUAACCUGCCCUAGCACUGGGGAAUAACAGCUGGAAACGGCUGUUAAUGCCGCAUAUGCGCACGGAGCCGCAUGGCUUUGGGCGGAAAGAUUUAUCGGUGCAGGAUGGGCCCGCGCCGGAGUUAACUAGUUGGCGGGGUAACGGCCCACCAAGGUGAUGAUCCGUAGCCGACCUGAGAGGGUGACCGGCCACAUUGGGACUGAGACACGGCCCAAACUCCUACGGGAGGCAGCAGUGGGGGAUAUUGCACAAUGGGGGAAACCCUGAAUGCAGCGACGCCGCGUGAAGGAUGAAGUAUUUCGGUAUGUAAACUUCUAUCAGCGGGGAAGAAGAUGACGGUACCCGACUAAGAAGCCCCGGCUAACUACGUGCCAGCCGCCGC
RNAcentral lists this ribosomal RNA (481 nucleotides) under uncultured bacterium. RNAcentral's name for it is "bacterial SSU rRNA". It matches the Rfam family "Bacterial small subunit ribosomal RNA", at positions 24 to 518 of the family's 1533-position model. The record is from RNAcentral.